RNAcentral lists this ribosomal RNA (523 nucleotides) under uncultured bacterium. RNAcentral's name for it is "bacterial SSU rRNA". It matches the Rfam family "Bacterial small subunit ribosomal RNA", at positions 20 to 518 of the family's 1533-position model. The record is from RNAcentral.
UGGCUCAGGACGAACGCUGGCGGCGUGCUUAACACAUGCAAGUCGAACGGAGAUAUUAAUGAAGCUUGCGAUUUAAUAAUCUUAGUGGCGGACGGGUGAGUAACGCGUGGGCAACCUACCCAUAAGCGGGGGAUAACAGUUGGAAACGACUGCUAAUACCGCAUAAGCUAUUGAGGUCGCAUGACCUAAAUAGUAAAGGUGGCGAAAGCUAUCACUUAUGGAUGGGCCCGCGUCUGAUUAGCUAGUUGGUGGGAUAGCAGCCUACCAAGGCAACGAUCAGUAGCCGGCCUGAGAGGGUGGACGGCCACACUGGGACUGAGACACGGCCCAGACUCCUACGGGAGGCAGCAGUGGGGAAUAUUGCGCAAUGGGGGAAACCCUGACGCAGCGACGCCGCGUGAGCGAAGAAGGCCUUAGGGUCGUAAAGCUCUGUUGUAAGGGACGAAUGUUUAUCUGGCGAACAGUCAGAUAAAGUGACGGUACCUUACCAGCAAGCCCCGGCUAACUACGUGCCAGCCGCCGC